CUACGGGACGCUGCAGUGAGGAAUUUUGCGCAAUGGGGGAAACCCUGACGCAGCAACACCGCGUGAGUGAUGAAGGCUUUCGGGUCGUAAAGCUCUGUCAAGUGGGAAGAACCCACAUGGUGCCAAUACCACCAUGUGCUGACGGUACCACUGAAGGAAGCACCGGCUAACUCCGUGCCAGCAGCCGCGGUAAUACGGGGGGUGCAAGCGUUAUUCGGAAUCAUUGGGCGUAAAGAGCACGUAGGCGGUUUCAUAAGUCAGAUGUGAAAGCCCGGGGCUUAACCCCGGAAGUGCAUUUGAAACUAUGUGACUUGAGUAUGGGAGAGGGAAGUGGAAUUCCUGGUGUAGAGGUGAAAUUCGUAGAUAUCAGGAGGAACACCGGUGGCGAAGGCGACUUCCUGGACCAAUACUGACGCUGAGGUGCGAAGGCGUGGGUAGCAAACAGGAUUAGAUACCCUGGUAGUC
Molecule: ribosomal RNA, 465 nt
Filed under: uncultured bacterium
Lineage: Bacteria
Description: partial 16S ribosomal RNA
Rfam family: Bacterial small subunit ribosomal RNA
Source: RNAcentral